This 237-nucleotide ribosomal RNA is filed under the name uncultured bacterium. Its description in RNAcentral is "partial 16S ribosomal RNA". It matches the Rfam family "Bacterial small subunit ribosomal RNA", at positions 100 to 334 of the family's 1533-position model. The record is from RNAcentral.
CCGGCACGGGUGGAGUAACACGUAUCCAACCUGCCGUCUACUCUUGGACAGCCUUCUGAAGGAAGAUUAAUACAAGAUGGCAUCAUGAGUCCACAUGUUCACAUGAUUAAAGGUAUUCCGGUAGACGAUGGGGAUGCGUUCCAUUAGAUAGUAGGCGGGGUAACGGCCCACCUAGUCUUCGAUGGAUAGGGGUUCUGAGAGGAAGGUCCCCCACAUUGGAACUGAGACACGGUCCAA